Phyllopteryx taeniolatus (common seadragon) is the source of this 1410-nucleotide long non-coding RNA. RefSeq lists it as uncharacterized. The record is from RefSeq and is a predicted model, not a curated record. NCBI's taxonomy places the organism in Eukaryota, Metazoa, Chordata, Actinopteri, Syngnathiformes, Syngnathidae. The transcript has 3 exons.
ACAACAUCUUCAAAGCUAAUGAGUCAUUUUUCAAGAAUUACUUGAAACAUGAUUUGAAAUCCAUGUUUCUUUUCUUUUCUUUCUUUUUUUGUCCUGUUCGGCUGUUAGGUUAAGCAGAAUGGAAAAUCUGUAUCCCUUUUAUGCCGGAACAGUUUUACUGUGUCACAGUGGCGUUUAAAUCUUCCGCUGUGGUAUUAUAAUUGAGGUUUAUUGAGAAUCAGACUUGAUCAGUCGGACAGAACAAUGUUUCUCGAAGGGAGAGAGAAACAAAGACAAAAGACAAAGCAAGGAGCAGCCGUGGGCCAUGAGAGGUCAGCCCCAACACCAAGCAGUCAUCCAGCCCGGGGGCCCGGCCUAAGGAGCACCGCCAUGCAAGAAGAGGCCCACAAGGGUUUGAUCUACGUCAGCUGAACACGCUCAAGACUGUAGAGAUGAUUGUGGACUUCAGGAGGCAUCCUUCGCCACAGCUGCCCCUCACACUGUCCAGCUGCCUUGUGUCAACCAUUGAGACCUUCAAGUUCCUGGGUAUUACAGUUUCUCAGGACCUGAAGUGGGCGAUCAACAUCAGCUCCAUCCUCAAAAAGGCCCAGCAGAGGAUGUACUUCCUGCGGCUUCUGAGGAAGCACGACCUGCCACAGGUGCUGUUGAGGCAGUUCUACACAGUGGUCAUCGAAUCAGUCCUGUGUUCUUCCAUCACAAUCUGGUUUGGUGCUGCUACAAAAAAGGACAAACUCCGACUGCAACGGACAAUCAAAACUGGUGAAAAUAUAGUCUGUACCCCAACUCACCCUUGAGGACUUGCACACUGCCAGAACUAAGACAAGAGCGUGCAAAAUCCUCUCGGACCCUCCACAUCUUGGUCACCAGCUCUUCCAGCUUCUUCCCUCAGACAUGGCCUGAACUGCAGUUGAACUGAGUCUCAUGGGAUUCUCACUCCGCCAGAUCGUAAGAUGGCUGACCCAGCAGGAAAGAGAAAAGAAGUGAAGACUUGGACGGGUGAAAUGCAGAGGAAUAAAAGGAGAGAUGGGGGACGCAGGGGCAUUACUUCAGAACAUGACAGAAAUCUGGGACCCACUGAUGCAUGCAGGCUGCAUCGGAAUAAAAAAAAAAAAAAAAACCUCUCAACUUGCUCACCUCACUCUUCAUGAAUAUACAGUAUAUCCGAUAUUCCGGUUACCAAUAAAACUAUUGCCACAAUUAUUAGAUUUAAGAUGUCCUAUUUGUCUAGUCAUUGGCAAACUCAAUCUAAAAUCAGAAAGACCUACAGUAAGUUCAACCACCUGUCUCCAGUUCCUCAGCUGCAGACAGAAUAAUAAUACAAAACUUCUCAUUUGUUUUGUCAUUUAUUGAUUGUAGUAGUCUGUACUGUAUUUCAUUUAGAAAAAUGCAACAAUCUUCUCCCUAUCACUU